CCUACGGGUGGCAGCAGUGAGGAAUAUUGGUCAAUGGGCGAAAGCCUGAACCAGCCAAGUAGCGUGAAGGAUGACUGCCCUACGGGUUGUAAACUUCUUUUAUAAAGGAAUAAAGUGAGGCACGUGUGCCUUUUUGUAUGUCCUUUAUGACUAAGGAUCGGCUAACUCCGUGCCAGCAGCCGCGGUAAUACGGGGGAUCCGAGCGUUCUCCGGAUUUAUUGGGUUUAAAGGGAGCGUAGAUGGGUUGUUAAGUCAGUUGUGAAAGUUUGCUGCUCACCCGUAAAAAUGCAAUGGAUACUGGCAGUCUUGAGUACAGUUGAGGUAGGCGGAAUUCGUGGUGUAGCGGUGAAAUGCUUAGAUAUCACGAAGAACUCCGAGUGCGAAGGCAGCUUACUAAACUGUCACUGACAUUGAUGCUCGAAAGUGUGGGUAUCAAACAGGAGUAGAUACCCGUGUAGUC
This 460-nucleotide ribosomal RNA is filed under the name uncultured bacterium. RNAcentral describes it as "partial 16S ribosomal RNA". It matches the Rfam family "Bacterial small subunit ribosomal RNA", at positions 338 to 795 of the family's 1533-position model. The record is from RNAcentral.